CCUGCCCCUACUAAAAAUUUUUUGAAAAAAUGAUACAAGGUGGGAUCCAGAGGAAGACAAACCAUAAGACACUCUUAAUCUCACAAAACAAACUAAGGGUUGAUAGAGGG
Long non-coding RNA from Mustela erminea (ermine), 110 nucleotides. RefSeq lists it as uncharacterized. NCBI's taxonomy places the organism in Eukaryota, Metazoa, Chordata, Mammalia, Carnivora, Mustelidae. The transcript is spliced from 3 exons. The record is from RefSeq and is a predicted model, not a curated record.